This 1263-nucleotide long non-coding RNA is filed under the name Struthio camelus australis. Its description in RNAcentral is "lncRNA (ENSSCUG00000013200.1)". The record is from RNAcentral. Lineage: Eukaryota; Metazoa; Chordata; Aves; Struthioniformes; Struthionidae.
AAAAAUCAAUAUUGCAGAACCUGUUUAAUCAUAAGCUGCAUCUGAUGAUACUUAAAAGUACAAGGCACGUACAAAUAUUUUACUGGUUAGGAAAACUUUUUCAAGAAAGAUGUGUCAAGGGUUGAUUAUAGAAAGUGAUUGUUUUCAGAAACCGGCUCCACCCUUUAUUCCUGAUCCUCUGUUCUGUUUCUGGUAGGUCAGUUUAAUGAAAGCCUAGACUAAAACACCCAUUUAAUCUAAGCAAAAGUUUAUUAUCUAAAUACAGUUUUUAUUAGAACAGAUUCGAGAAUACAUUUUCUCAUUUUUUGUUCUUUUUCUCAAAUAUUAAUGGAUAUAUUCUGGCUAAGGGCUCACUCAGCACUGAUCUGAGUAUUGGAAGCAUGUGGAAUGUAGAAAUCAUGUAUGGACAUGUUGAUGCAGUAGGGAAUUUCAUUUCCCAUUGGUGUCACAAUAGCUUCAACUUGCCAUAAAAGCACAGUUUAGGCAUGAAGGGUAGCAUGAACUUUCAAAACAUCAAGUAAAUGUGUAAGGUACUCAGACCUUCAUACUUCCAGAAAAAAAAGAUAUCCACUAUCAGAAAAAUUAGGAAGAAAGUUUCACUUCGGGCAUUUUAAUCUAAUGCUGUCCACGCUAAGAUUUCAAAUACUUUUUUUUCCCCCAGAACCUAGUUGGUGAAGACCACUGAAAAAGAUGAGAUGCUGUACUAGACAAGAGAAAGUUGGUUGCUGCUUUCAGGAACUGUGCCAAAAGGCUUUCUUUGCAUUCAAAGACGUCCCCCUCCACCCCCAAAUACUGAAGUUUACAGAUGCAGCUGCACCCCACUAGCCACCGUUACCUGCUUCUCAGUCUAUUUCUAAUCCCACCUUCUCUAGGGUCAGAUUUACGCAGUCUUGCCCAGGGACAAGUUUUCCAUGACACUGGAUUCAUCGCUCAGCUACAAUAUGGCAUUGUUAGCUCUAAUGGCUCAGCAAGAGCAGAAUGGUGGUUGAACAUACUUUUACAAGGAGCAAGGAUCUCUGGUUCAUAGGAAAUAAGACGCCUUGUGAGACAUUUGAACGCAGACCCUUAACUAGUUGCAGGGUCAGUCGUCAGAGAUGGGCAUUUGUCUAACCCUUUCCUAACGUGUGCUUAAGGCCUGGAUGAGGAGGAUGGCGCUGAGGCUGCGAACCAGGAGACCAGAACGCACCGACGGGUUUUAGACCACCCUGCGGGAGGAGGCGCUGGCCAUAGCCGCCGCAGGCAGACACGGGCCGGGUGCGGGCC